GGGUUGUGAGGUUAAGCGACUAAGCGUACACGGUGGAUGCCCUGGCAGUCAGAGGCGAUGAAGGGCGUGCUAAUCUGCGAUAAGCGCCGGUAAGGUGAUAUGAACCGUUAUAACCGGCGAUACCCGAAUGGGGAAACCCAGUGUGACUCGUCACACUAUCAUUAACUGAAUCCAUAGGUUAAUGAGGCGAACCGGGGGAACUGAAACAUCUAAGUACCCCGAGGAAAAGAAAUCAACCGAGAUUCCCCCAGUAGCGGCGAGCGAACGGGGAGGAGCCCAGAGCCUGAAUCAGCAUGUGUGUUAGUGGAAGCGUCUGGAAAGGCGCGCGAUACAGGGUGACAGCCCCGUACACAAAAGCGCAUGUGCUGUGAGCUCGAUGAGUAGGGCGGGACACGUGGUAUCCUGUCUGAAUAUGGGGGGACCAUCCUCCAAGGCUAAAUACUCCUGACUGACCGAUAGUGAACCAGUACCGUGAGGGAAAGGCGAAAAGAACCCCGGCGAGGGGAGUGAAAAAGAACCUGAAACCGUGUACGUACAAGCAGUGGGAGCCCCACCACUAAGCCAGUGGUGAACUCCACAUACGCAUCCUUUGCUGAGGAUACGGUUAACGGAGCGAAAGCGACGUUCAACCGCAAAAGAAGCAGAGGGGGCUUAGUGGUGGGGUGACUGCGUACCUUUUGUAUAAUGGGUCAGCGACUUAUAUUCUGUAGCAAGGUUAACCGAAUAGGGGAGCCGGAGGGAAACCGAGUCUUAAUUGGGCGUUAAGUUGCAGGGUAUAGACCCGAAACCCGGUGAUCUAGCCAUGGGCAGGUUGAAGGUUGGGUAACACUAACUGGAGGACCGAACCGACUAAUGUUGAAAAAUUAGCGGAUGACCUGUGGCUGGGGGUGAAAGGCCAAUCAAACCGGGAGAUAGCUGGUUCUCCCCGAAAGCUAUUUAGGUAGCGCCUCGUGAAUUCAUCUCCGGGGGUAGAGCACUGUUUCGGCUAGGGGGCCAUCCCGGCUUACCAACCCGAUGCAAACUGCGAAUACCGGAGAAUGUUAUCACGGGAGACACACGGCGGGUGCUAACGUCCGUCGUGAAGAGGGAAACAACCCAGACCGCCAGCUAAGGUCCCAAAGUCAUGGUUAAGUGGGAAACGAUGUGGGAAGGCCCAGACAGCCAGGAUGUUGGCUUAGAAGCAGCCAUCAUUUAAAGAAAGCGUAAUAGCUCACUGGUCGAGUCGGCCUGCGCGGAAGAUGUAACGGGGCUAAACCAUGCACCGAAGCUGCGGCAGCGACACUGUGUGUUGUUGGGUAGGGGAGCGUUCUGUAAGCCUGUGAAGGUGUGUCGUGAGGCAUGCUGGAGGUAUCAGAAGUGCGAAUGCUGACAUAAGUAACGAUAAAGCGGGUGAAAAGCCCGCUCGCCGGAAGACCAAGGGUUCCUGUCCAACGUUAAUCGGGGCAGGGUGAGUCGACCCCUAAGGCGAGGCCGAAAGGCGUAGUCGAUGGGAAACGGGUUAAUAUUCCCGUACUUGGUGUUACUGCGAAGGGGGGACGGAGAAGGCUAUGUUGGCCGGGCGACGGUUGUCCCGGUUUAAGCGUGUAGGUGUGUGUUCCAGGUAAAUCCGGUUCACUUUAACACUGAGGCGUGACGACGAGGCACUACGGUGCUGAAGCAACAAAUGCCCUGCUUCCAGGAAAAGCCUCUAAGCAUCAGGUAACAUCAAAUCGUACCCCAAACCGACACAGGUGGUCAGGUAGAGAAUACCAAGGCGCUUGAGAGAACUCGGGUGAAGGAACUAGGCAAAAUGGUGCCGUAACUUCGGGAGAAGGCACGCUGACACGUAGGUGAAGUGAUUUACUCAUGGAGCUGAAGUCAGUCGAAGAUACCAGCUGGCUGCAACUGUUUAUUAAAAACACAGCACUGUGCAAACACGAAAGUGGACGUAUACGGUGUGACGCCUGCCCGGUGCCGGAAGGUUAAUUGAUGGGGUCAGCGCAAGCGAAGCUCCUGAUCGAAGCCCCGGUAAACGGCGGCCGUAACUAUAACGGUCCUAAGGUAGCGAAAUUCCUUGUCGGGUAAGUUCCGACCUGCACGAAUGGCGUAAUGAUGGCCAGGCUGUCUCCACCCGAGACUCAGUGAAAUUGAACUCGCUGUGAAGAUGCAGUGUACCCGCGGCAAGACGGAAAGACCCCGUGAACCUUUACUAUAGCUUGACACUGAACAUUGAGCCUUGAUGUGUAGGAUAGGUGGGAGGCUUUGAAGUGUGGACGCCAGUCUGCAUGGAGCCGACCUUGAAAUACCACCCUUUAAUGUUUGAUGUUCUAACGUGGACCCGUGAUCCGGGUUGCGGACAGUGUCUGGUGGGUAGUUUGACUGGGGCGGUCUCCUCCUAAAGAGUAACGGAGGAGCACGAAGGUUGGCUAAUCCUGGUCGGACAUCAGGAGGUUAGUGCAAUGGCAUAAGCCAGCUUGACUGCGAGCGUGACGGCGCGAGCAGGUGCGAAAGCAGGUCAUAGUGAUCCGGUGGUUCUGAAUGGAAGGGCCAUCGCUCAACGGAUAAAAGGUACUCCGGGGAUAACAGGCUGAUACCGCCCAAGAGUUCAUAUCGACGGCGGUGUUUGGCACCUCGAUGUCGGCUCAUCACAUCCUGGGGCUGAAGUAGGUCCCAAGGGUAUGGCUGUUCGCCAUUUAAAGUGGUACGCGAGCUGGGUUUAGAACGUCGUGAGACAGUUCGGUCCCUAUCUGCCGUGGGCGCUGGAGAACUGAGGGGGGCUGCUCCUAGUACGAGAGGACCGGAGUGGACGCAUCACUGGUGUUCGGGUUGUCAUGCCAAUGGCACUGCCCGGUAGCUAAAUGCGGAAGAGAUAAGUGCUGAAAGCAUCUAAGCACGAAACUUGCCCCGAGAUGAGUUCUCCCUGAGACUUAGAGUCUCCUGAAGGAACGUUGAAGACGACGACGUUGAUAGGCCGGGUGUGUAAGCGCAGCGAUGCGUUGAGCUAACCGGUACUAAUGAACCGUGAGGCUUAACCUUACAACGCCGAAG
RNAcentral lists this ribosomal RNA (3027 nucleotides) under Salmonella enterica subsp. enterica serovar Anatum. RNAcentral's name for it is "23S ribosomal RNA". It matches the Rfam family "Bacterial large subunit ribosomal RNA". Lineage: Bacteria; Pseudomonadati; Pseudomonadota; Gammaproteobacteria; Enterobacterales; Enterobacteriaceae. The record is from RNAcentral.